RNAcentral lists this ribosomal RNA (253 nucleotides) under uncultured bacterium. Its description in RNAcentral is "partial 16S ribosomal RNA". It matches the Rfam family "Bacterial small subunit ribosomal RNA", at positions 524 to 776 of the family's 1533-position model. The record is from RNAcentral.
UACAGAGGUCUCAAGCGUUGUUCGGAUUCAUUGGGCGUAAAGGGUGCGUAGGCGGCGCGGUAAGUCGGGUGUGAAAUCUUGGAGCUUAACUCCGAAACUGCAUUCGAUACUGCCGUGCUUGAGGACUGGAGAGGAGACUGGAAUUUACGGUGUAGCGGUGAAAUGCGUAGAUAUCGGAAGGAACAUCAGUGGCGAAAGCGGCUUCCUGGACCAGCACCGACGUUCAGGCACGAAAGCGUGGGGAGCAAACAGG